CCUACGGGUGGCAGCAGUGAGGAAUUUUUGUCAAUGGGCGAGCGCCUGAACCAGCCAAGUCGCGUGGAGGAUGAAGGUUCUCUGGUUUGUAAACUUCUUUUAUAUGGGAAUAAAGUGAGGAACGUGUUUCUUUUUGUAUGUACCAUAUGAAUACGCAUCGGCUAACUCCGUGCCAGCAGCCGCGGUAAUACGGAGGAUGCGUGCGUUAUCCGGAUUUAUUGGGUUUAAAGGGUGCGUAGGUGGUUAAUUAAGUCAGCUGUGAAAGUUUGUGGCUCAACCAUAAUAUUGCGUUUGAAACUGGUUGACUUGAGUAUAUUUGAGGUAAGCGGAAUGCGUGGUGUAGCGGUGAAAUGCAUAGAUAUCACGCAGAACACCGAUUGCGAAGGCAGCUUACUAAACUAUAACUGACACUGAGGCACGAAAGCGUGGGGAGCAAACAGGAUUAGAUACCCUUGUAGUC
RNAcentral lists this ribosomal RNA (460 nucleotides) under uncultured bacterium. RNAcentral describes it as "partial 16S ribosomal RNA". It matches the Rfam family "Bacterial small subunit ribosomal RNA", at positions 338 to 795 of the family's 1533-position model. The record is from RNAcentral.